GGAAUCAUGACCUGAGUGGAAGGCAGAUGCUCAACUGACUGAACCACCCAGACUAGGCCAAAGCAAGCCAGUUGGCAUAAAACCAAAUGGAAUAUAAAACAAUAACAACAACAACAACAACAACAACAAGUGGAAUGGAAUGUUCAGAGGUGGAAAUUUUGCCACCAGAUGUGCAAUAUCACCAGUGUCUUACUCCCUCACUCUGUUCCAGCUAUACUGACUACUUUGCUUUGACCAUGAGAGAUCACAAGCAGGCAGAAAGGCAGGCAGAGAAAGAGGAGGAAGCAGGCUCCCC
Molecule: long non-coding RNA, 295 nt
Organism: Lutra lutra (Eurasian river otter)
Lineage: Eukaryota; Metazoa; Chordata; Mammalia; Carnivora; Mustelidae
Exons: 3
Source: RefSeq, a predicted model, not a curated record